ACCUGGUCCAAGUGCAGUGGUCAUUACAAUUAAUUGAUCACAGCCAGUUACAGAUUUCAUUGUUUCCGCUCCACUCUGACUGCUUCAAGCGACUGCUUCAUUUGACUAGCCUAAA
This 115-nucleotide non-coding RNA is filed under the name Carlito syrichta (Philippine tarsier). Lineage: Eukaryota; Metazoa; Chordata; Mammalia; Primates; Tarsiidae. The record is from RNAcentral.